Molecule: long non-coding RNA, 566 nt
Organism: Ictalurus punctatus (channel catfish)
Lineage: Eukaryota; Metazoa; Chordata; Actinopteri; Siluriformes; Ictaluridae
Source: Ensembl
CGGCGAUGCCACCUGCGCUCACACUACGCUUGGAGCAUGCGGGUUUUUGUCGGACGCCGCUGCCAAUAUGGGCGGGAAGCGGAUAUGAUAUCAUCAUACUUAAUUAUGUCUUAUAGCAGUAAUAUGCACAUGGAGGGAGGAAACUGUGGAGGAUGAGCAUGGGGAGAGGAGGAGACGGGGGGAGCAGGUGACUGAUGAAGAGGAUGACAUUGAAGAGUCCCCUCCCAGAAGAAGACAGUGUGUGGAGCAUGAGGAUGCUGACGAUGAGCCAAUUGAUUUCGCUAGUUUGGAGAGGAACUCGUCCCCUUUGUGGCGCUUAUCCCCUACUUUGGUGUUCGUUCCAUCUGCAGAUGCUCCCUCCAGCAGUGAGCAUUUCUGGUGGAUGAUGAUGAUGAGGGAGCAGAUGAACGAUGAAGAGGACAGUGAUGAAGAGGCCCCUCCUAGAAGAAGGCAGCAUGUGGAGCAGGAAGAUGACGACUAUGAGGUGUCUGAGCUCAGUAAUUCGGAGAGUAGCUCACCCCCUUUGUGGAGCUUAUUCCCAGCUUUGGAGUGUAUCCACAACAUGC